Molecule: transfer RNA, 87 nt
Filed under: Candidatus Moraniibacteriota bacterium
Lineage: Bacteria; Candidatus Moraniibacteriota
Description: tRNA-Ser
Rfam family: tRNA
About the family: Transfer RNA (tRNA) molecules are approximately 80 nucleotides in length. Their secondary structure includes four short double-helical elements and three loops (D, anti-codon, and T loops).
Source: RNAcentral
GGAGAGGUGGCCGAGUGGCUGAAGGCACCACACUGCUAACGUGGCGGGGCGUAAAAACCCUCGAGAGUUCGAAUCUCUCCCUCUCCG